Molecule: ribosomal RNA, 253 nt
Filed under: uncultured bacterium
Lineage: Bacteria
Description: partial 16S ribosomal RNA
Rfam family: Bacterial small subunit ribosomal RNA
Source: RNAcentral
UACGAAGGGGGCUAGCGUUGCUCGGAAUCACUGGGCGUAAAGCGCACGUAGGCGGUUUGUUAAGUCCGGGGUGAAAUCCUGGAGCUCAACUCCAGAACUGCCUUUGAUACUGGCGAUCUUGAGUCCGGGAGAGGUGAGUGGAACUGCGAGUGUAGAGGUGAAAUUCGUAGAUAUUCGCAAGAACACCAGUGGCGAAGGCGGCUCACUGGCCCGAUACUGACGCUGAGGUGCGAAAGCGUGGGGAGCAAACAGG